AGGUGGUGGUCGAUGGUUGUCGUCAGCUCGUGUCGUGAGAUGUUGGGUUAAGUCCCGCAACGAGCGCAACCCUCGCCUCUAGUUGCCAGCAUUCGGUUGGGCACUCUAGAGGGACUGCCGGCGACAAGUCGGAGGAAGGUGGGGAUGACGUCAAAUCAUCAUGCCCCUUAUGACCUGGGCUACACACGUGCUACAAUGGGCGGUACAAAGGGUCGCGAACCCGCGAGGGGGAGCCAAUCCCAAAAAAGCCGCUCUCAGUUCGGAUUGCAGGCUGCAACUCGCCUGCAUGAAGCCGGAAUCGCUAGUAAUCGCGGAUCAGCAUGCCGCGGUGAAUACGUUCCCGGGCCUU
Molecule: ribosomal RNA, 349 nt
Filed under: uncultured Geobacillus sp.
Lineage: Bacteria; Bacillati; Bacillota; Bacilli; Caryophanales; Anoxybacillaceae
Description: bacterial SSU rRNA
Rfam family: Bacterial small subunit ribosomal RNA
Source: RNAcentral